This is a non-coding RNA of Rattus norvegicus (Norway rat), 218 nucleotides long. The record is from RefSeq and is a predicted model, not a curated record. Lineage: Eukaryota; Metazoa; Chordata; Mammalia; Rodentia; Muridae.
GGUCACCAGGCCUCCCUUAAUAUUGGCCUAGGCAAAUCACUAUGGCUAGCCUUACCACUAGGCUCUUGGGAUAUUUCCAUUGCCUCAUAAAUAUAUGGCGACAAUCUGGGUCAGGCCACACCUCAGCAAGAUCUAACUACAAAACAUUUGCUUUCUAUGAUAAACGAACCACAUUUCACAGGCUGUGGGUCAAUAAGCUGUCACAAUACAUCUGCCAA